This 304-nucleotide ribosomal RNA is filed under the name uncultured eukaryote. RNAcentral's name for it is "partial large subunit ribosomal RNA". It matches the Rfam family "Eukaryotic large subunit ribosomal RNA", at positions 40 to 350 of the family's 3401-position model. The record is from RNAcentral.
AUAUUAUUAAGCGGAGGAAAAGAAAUUAACAAAGAUUACCUUAGUAAGGGCGACUGAACCGGUAAAAGCUCGAAAUUGGAAUCAGUGAUUCAACGAAUCUCUGAAUUGUAAUCAGGACAACCUAAAUACUGGAAGCAUUUUAAUAGGCUCGAAAGCCUGACCAAAGAGGGUGCUAGUCCCGUGAAAAUGUAGACAGAGUAAGGUUGGAUCCACAAGAGUCAGGUUGCUUGGAACUGCAGCCUUAAGUGGGAGAUAUGAUUCUUCCAAAGCUAAAUAUGGAUGGGAGACCGAUAGCGCACAAGUA